CCUUUGGUGUGGCGAAAAACUGGACAUGUGUGUAAACGAACUUUCACUACAAAAAAAUAAAUGGUUGCAUUGGAACAUCAUCCCUUAAAGAAGAAACACAAAAUAAAAACCACAAAAUACCGGCUUUCUUCUGCUAAAACCAAUCCUCCUCUAGUGCAAAAUAUCUGCCCCAAUAUGAAAUCCCAACCCACGGCAUGGAUAAAUGUUUUUGUCAUUUUGUUUUUUCCGGCACUUUCGCCGACUGUCGUUUGAUAGAGCAUGCUCUCUUCAGCAGCACAAAGUGGAUCGUGUUUUAUAUUUUGUGGAACGUAAUUUCUCUUUUCCUCUACACCACCUUAUCGAGUCCUUUUUUCUGUCGUUUCAACGGUGCAGUACACGUGACUGUAUCUUGUGAAAUACCUUAACAUAGUCAUACGCUUUUUGGGAACACGGCAUUAACUUUUCAACUUAGCUGGCAGAUGUGGGGUUAUAACAGCAGCAUGCAGCAGCAGCAACUUGUCUCACAAGAACCGUAAUUUGUUUAGUAUAUUGUGCAAGGUUUGAUCCAACAUUGGCAUUGGUUCGCUAUUCGUAUAUGCAUAAAGGAAGAAGGAUACCAUUUUCUGUAAGGAAAAUAAAGGACUUCUUUUCGUUGGUAUAUCCAAUCGGGAACGGGAUGCCAUCGCCAUGUCAAAGAAAAGUGAUACUCCAGUUGGAUUUUCGUGUGUUGCCAACCAGUCGUUGCUGCGACUGGUAUUGGUAAUUUUUUUUUCUUGUAUUCAUGUGAAGGAUUACGUCGUUAUGUGUUUUGAAAUUCAGAAAUAAGUGACAGUCGAUGUCCUCUUUUCAUCGAAGAUGCAUCCUUCGGAAUAAAUUAAUUGAAUCCUGCUAUUAACCAAGAAAAUUGGAAGAAAAACAAUUUUUCAACUCGGAUUUUAAACUUCGUGUGCGAAUGUUUUUUUAUUUAUACAACAAAUAAAAUACAAAAAUAAAAUUCAAUCAUUCAAGCUUUGAAAAAAAAACAUCGGAAAAAAUAUAUUUCUAUUAAAUUAUCGGAAAAUACAAAAAUUAAAUUUUUAAAGUUUUGGUUAAAAUUUAAUUUAAUUUUUUUUUAAAUUUACAUAUUAUAAAGUUUUGGUAAUAAAGUUUUGUGUGAAAUGAAGUGUUUGCUCAUUAAUGACGAAAAAUUGUUGACACAACCUAGACCAACAUCCACAGCUGAAACAGGAAUACAUCCAUCAUUUUUAACUGAUUCCAUGAAAAUAAAACAAAAGACAAAAUGAUUGUAUCGGAAAAAAGCUGUGGGUUGGUUGCGUGUAAGAAUUACACGUAAUGAAUAAGUGCACCUGUACCUAUCUUAAUGUUCAUUCGUUUGGUGAGCCAACGCAACGUUUAUGCAACUAAAUGUCCUCAAAUAAAUCUUAAUAAGUAUGUUAAAUUAUUCUCACUUGUUUCCCCUGUUAGUUGUUCAACAUCAACCCUAUAAAUUAAUAAAAUGUGACAGUGUGUCUACUGAUUGAAAAUGAAAAUAUUAAUGGAAAUAAGUUGUAGCUGAUUUGACUGUUAAAGUCACGUUUUUUAAAGUUCAAAAAUGUUGAUGUAUACACGCUGAACAAGUACAUAUUACGGAAAAAUAACAACAAAUUAUCUCUCCUAGGGAUUAAUCGAAAACAUUUUAUUGCCAAGGUUUUUGCUUCCUGAAUAAUUUUUCAAAACAAAAAUGAGUAUUAUCCCUAUUCAAUGAAAUGUAACCUAAUAUAACUCCCACACUAACUUAUUUUAAAGUUUUUGUAUGUUAAUUGUUCACAGGUAUUCAAGCUUAUUUCCAACAAAAAUCACAAAGUUCAACCUCAGGAAAAACGUUAACAUAUUAAAUAGUUUUGGUUUAUCUCAAUUAUUCUAAUAGCCAAAUUUUGAUCUGGAUCAAAAAAUUAUAUGAAUUUAUUUUCAUUGAAAAAACAUGUUGGCCGCUUAAUCCAUUAAAAUUAUACAAUAAUACGCUUUUUGCAAGGGGACUUUCUGCAUUCUUAAAUUAUAGUAACCGGCGAACGUAGGAGUAGUUAUUCUCUCACUACCACCUGUGUUUUCUUCUUGAGAAAAACCA
This is a long non-coding RNA of Episyrphus balteatus (marmalade hoverfly), 2083 nucleotides long. RefSeq lists it as uncharacterized. The record is from RefSeq and is a predicted model, not a curated record. Lineage: Eukaryota; Metazoa; Arthropoda; Insecta; Diptera; Syrphidae. The transcript is spliced from 3 exons.